UGAUCUACCAUGCCGCGUGAGUGAUGAAGGCCUUAGGGUCGUAACGCUCUUUCGCCUGUGAUGAUAUUGACAGUCCCAGGUAAAAAAACCCCGGCUAACUCCGUGCCACCAGCCGCGGUAAUACGGAGGGGGUUAGCGUUGUUCGGAAUUACUGGGCGUAAAGCGCGCGUAGGCGGAUUAGAAAGUUGGGGGUGAAAUCCCGGGGCUCAACCCCGGAACUGCCUCCAAAACUGCUAGUCUAGAGUUCGAGAGAGGUGAGUGGAAUUCCGAGUGUAGAGGUGAAAUUCGUAGAUAUUCGGAGGAACACCAGUGGCGAAGGCGGCUCACUGGCUCGAUACUGACGCUGAGGUGCGAAAGUGUGGGGAGCAAACAGGAUUAGAUACCCUGGUAGUCCACACCGUAAACGAUGAAUGCCAGUCGUCGGAUAGUAUACUAUUCGGUGACACACCUAACGGAUUAAGCAUUCCGCCUGGGGAGUACAGUCGCAAGAUUAAAACU
This 498-nucleotide ribosomal RNA is filed under the name uncultured bacterium. RNAcentral describes it as "bacterial SSU rRNA". It matches the Rfam family "Bacterial small subunit ribosomal RNA", at positions 384 to 901 of the family's 1533-position model. The record is from RNAcentral.